CAGUAGCCGCGGUAAUACGAAGGGUGCAAGCGUUAAUCGGAAUUACUGGGCGUAAAGCGUGCGUAGGCGGUUUGUUAAGUCUGUUGUGAAAUCCCCGGGCUCAACCUGAGAAUGGCAAUGGAUACUGGCAAGCUGGAGUGUGUCAGAGGAUGGUGGAAUUCCCGGUGUAGCGGUGAAAUGCGUAGAGAUCGGGAGGAACAUCAGUGGCGAAGGCGGCCAUCUGGGACAACACUGACGCUGAGGCACGAAAGCGUGGGGGGCAAACAGGAUUAGAUACCCCAGUAGUCCCUGUCUCUUAUAC
This 301-nucleotide ribosomal RNA is filed under the name uncultured bacterium. RNAcentral's name for it is "partial 16S ribosomal RNA". It matches the Rfam family "Bacterial small subunit ribosomal RNA", at positions 509 to 807 of the family's 1533-position model. The record is from RNAcentral.